Molecule: ribosomal RNA, 253 nt
Filed under: uncultured bacterium
Lineage: Bacteria
Description: partial 16S ribosomal RNA
Rfam family: Bacterial small subunit ribosomal RNA
Source: RNAcentral
UACGGAGGAUCCGAGCGUUAUCCGGAUUUAUUGGGUUUAAAGGGUGCGUAGGCGGUUUGAUAAGUUAGAGGUGAAAUGUCGGGGCUCAACCCCGAAACUGCCUCUAAUACUGUUGGACUAGAGAAUAGUUGCGGUAGGCGGAAUGUAUGGUGUAGCAGUGAAAUGCUUAGAGAUCAUACAGAACACCGAUUGCGAAGGCAGCUUACCAAACUAUAUCUGACGUUGAGGCACGAAAGCGUGGGUAGCAAACAGG